Long non-coding RNA from Limulus polyphemus (Atlantic horseshoe crab), 1084 nucleotides. RefSeq lists it as uncharacterized. The record is from RefSeq and is a predicted model, not a curated record. NCBI's taxonomy places the organism in Eukaryota, Metazoa, Arthropoda, Merostomata, Xiphosura, Limulidae. The transcript has 2 exons.
GAUGGCGUUGAGUUUUGGUUUUGGAUUUGCUUGUUUCUAGUAUAUUUGGUUUCAUGGUAAUUUUGGUACUUUGUGUUGGCGAAAGCCUACCGUGAAGUGUAAUUUUGUAAUGACAAAAAUAACACAAAGAUUCCGUUUUUCCAUAUCAAAGUAUCAGCAUGCUGAUGACUACCACCACUCAAGAGUACUGGAAAUGUGUCAGCGAAUCGUAUGGCCGAUUUAUACUCCUCGUUGUUAGUGCAUUGGAUUGUAGCUCAUUCUUUAUGCAGUUUUGUAAAAAAUUGAAUCGGUAAAUUUGUGUAAUUUAUAUUGAUUUAUAUAUCGUGUGUUGUGACGCUUAGCAUUUCAUGGUAAACCUAGUACACCAAACGAUUCACUAGUAUCUUAUCGAGUAGAAGAGUUUGUGUUAUUGUAUUGACCUUAGUGGCCGAGUUCGAGUUUGACGUUAUGAACAAUUGAUAACCUGUUCUUAUUCUGUAUUUAAAUUAAAAUGACAUUCAACUGGGAAAACCUAUUUUGGCCCAUAUUUGGUGGGUUACUUGCACUUCUUUUCGCCUUAUUGAAGGCUUAUUGUUUUUACAAGUGUGUUUGUCGAAAGAAAAAAGCUCUUGCGGAACAGGCAGUAGAAGGCGUGGUUCUGAAUUAUCACUCAACGGUCAACACUCUGCUGCCAUCUGUCGUUAGUGGCUUUCUCUCUGAAAGCCAUGAAGCUGUUACUAAUGCACUUACUGGAAGUGGUAGAAAUCAGCGAAUGUUGCAGUAUCCAUCCACAACCCAUUCAUGUAGUUGCAACAACCAUCCAUUACCUUCUGAGUACCAUUGUUACCCUGGACAUUUCAGUUCCAGGCAAAUGUUCCCUCCUGUCUGAAGUCAAACUUCUCUGAUAUUUGUCCGUAGAACCAUUUGGGAAACACACGUAUUUGUUUUUAUUUGAGAUUUUUAAUAUUGAGCUACCUGUAAAACUUAAAGCAUAACCUUUUGUUUUAUUCAGAACUAAACUUUUAUUACACUAAGAUGUAUGUAAAAUGACAUGUAUUGUUGUAGUACAACAACAUUUUGAAUUAAAUGUCUAACCGGAUCUGUA